GGAAGGAUCAUUGAAUCUAUCGAAUCCACUUUGGUAACCACAUGUCCCCCUCGUGCAGUGUCGUCCUCUCUUCGGAGGGGCGGUGCGGCGAGCGUCGGUCCCCUGGCUGCGGCUCCCCGAGUUGUUGUUCCAGGUCCGACGGGCGCCCCUCCACAUGCGUGGAUCCCCACUCAACGUGGGCCCCCUUUGGAGGACCUGGCGUCGGAAAUUCUUAAUUAACCCAACCAACCCCAAACCCAAACUCGCUCUGAAGCAUUUCGUGGCGGCGGUUCGUCCGCUCCACACCAAAUCAAAUACAACUCUCAACAACGGAUAUCUUGGCUCCCGUAUCGAUGAAGAACGCAGCGAAAUGCGAUACGUAGUGUGAAUUGCAGAAUUCCGUGAACCAUCGAAUCUUUGAACGCAACUUGCGCCCGAGGCUUCGGCCAAAGGCAUGUCUGCCUCAGCGUCGGCUCACCCCCUCGCCCCCUCCACCUUUUGUGUCGGUGGGUGGCGGAUCUGGCUCUCCCGGCUCCGCCCGUCCCUCGUGACUGGCUCCGGGUUUGCUGAAGCAUAGCGGUUUGAGCAUGGACCCCGUUCGUAGGGUAAUGGCUUGGUAGGUAGGUAUUCCCUGCACAACCUGCCGUUGCCCGAGGGGACUUUGCUGGGGACCUAGCAGGAAUUCGGCUGUCCGGACCCCCGGCGUCGAAGCCCACUCUUUCGACCUGAGCUCAGGCAAGACUACCCGCUGAACUUAAGCAUAUCAAUAAGCGGAGGAAAAGAAAUCAACUGAGAUGCCCUUAGUAACGGCGAGCGAACCGGGCAAAGCCCAACUUGAAAAUCUCCAACCUCUGGUUGGCGAAUUGUAGUCUAGAGAAGCGCUCUCUGUCCCUAUCCGGCCCCAAGUCCCCUGGAAAGGGGCGUCAAAGAGGGUGAGAACCCCGUUGGGACCGGGUAUUGGGACUCCACGAGACGCUUUCGUAGAGUCGGGUUGCUUGGGAAUGCAGCCCAAAGUAGGUGGUAAAUCCCAUCUAAGGCUAAAUACAGACGGGAGACCGAUAGCGAACAAGUACCGUGAGGGAAAGAUGAAGAGAACUUUGAAAAGAGAGUUAAAAAGUACUUGAAAUUGUUGAGAGGGAAGCGAUUGGAUCCUACGGGUGCGCCCAGGCACACGUCUGCCUAACGGCUGGCUGAAUGCGCUGGGUGCUGGUCAGCAUGGGUUGUCCGGGCGGGACAAAACCGGGGGUUGUUACCCCGGCUACGUCGCCUGGCCGACCGAGGAAUGAAGGGCGCUCUUUGAGUCCUCCGGGAACUGCGCCCUCAAGAUGCUGGCGGAAAGGUUCUAAUCGGCCCGUCUUGAAACACGGACCAAGGAGUCUAACAUGCAUGCGAGCUGGUGGGUGGCAAACCCAUGAAGCGCAAGUAACCUGACUGGUGGGACGGCCUGUGCCUGCACCAUCGACCCCGCUUGAUGUUUUCUGAAGGCCGGGAGUACGAGCAUGCACGUUGGGACCCGAAAGAUGGUGAACUAUGCCUGAGCAGGGCGAAGCCAGAGGAAACUCUGGUGGAGGCUCGUAGAUGUGCUGACGUGCAAAUCGCUUUUCGGACUUGGGUAUAGGGGCGAAAGACUAAUCGAACCAUCUAGUAGCUGGUUCCCUC
Molecule: unclassified non-coding RNA, 1638 nt
Filed under: uncultured fungus
Lineage: Eukaryota; Fungi
Description: sequence contains 18S rRNA gene, ITS1, 5.8S rRNA gene, ITS2, 28S rRNA gene
Rfam family: Eukaryotic large subunit ribosomal RNA (bases 701-1638)
Source: RNAcentral